RNAcentral lists this unclassified non-coding RNA (220 nucleotides) under soil metagenome. RNAcentral describes it as "partial contains 5.8S ribosomal RNA, internal transcribed spacer 2, and large subunit ribosomal RNA". The record is from RNAcentral.
AACCUAGCACACCUGCGGUGUGUACCUGCGGAAGGAUCAUUAACGAGUUACCACUCUAUAACCCUUUGUGAACAUACCUACAUGUUGCUUCGGCGGUCGGCCCCCCGGGCCCCCGGCCCCGCUCACGCGGGGCGUCCGCCGGAGGAUAACCAAACUCUGAUUUAACGACGUUUCUUCUGAGUGGCACAAGCAAAUAAUCAAAACUUUCAACAAUGGAUCU